This 380-nucleotide ribosomal RNA is filed under the name Apocephalus platypalpis. RNAcentral's name for it is "partial 28S ribosomal RNA". It matches the Rfam family "Eukaryotic large subunit ribosomal RNA", at positions 1071 to 1415 of the family's 3401-position model. Lineage: Eukaryota; Metazoa; Arthropoda; Insecta; Diptera; Phoridae. The record is from RNAcentral.
GGGUAAGAACCUCACCUAUCUUGAUAUGUAGGUGGGGUUGUGAUAUAUUGUGCCCAGUGGGCCACUUUUGGUAAGCAGAACUGGCGCUGUGGGAUGAACCAAACGCAAUGUUACGGUGCCAAAAUUUACAACUCAUGCAGAUACCAUGAAAGGCGUUGCUUGCUUAAAACAGCAGGACGGUGGACAUGGAAGUCGUAAUCCGCUAAGGAGUGUGUAACAACUCACCUGCCGAAGCAACUAGCCCUUAAAAUGGAUGGCGCUUAAGUUGUAUACCUAUACAUUGCCGCUAAUGUAAAUGGUUUAUAUGAAAUUUCGGUUUCAUAUAAGUUUUGAAACAUUAGUGAGUAGGAGGGUACAAUGGUGUGCCUAGAAGUGUUUGG